GACGAACGCUGGCGGCGUGCUUAACACAUGCAAGUCGAGCGGAAAGGCCCUGCUUUUGUGGGGUGCUCGAGUGGCGAACGGGUGAGUAACACGUGAGUAACCUGCCCUUGACUUUGGGAUAACUUCAGGAAACUGGGGCUAAUACCGGCUAGGAGCUCCUGCUGCAUGGUGGGGGUUGGAAAGUUUCGGCGGUUGGGGAUGGACUCGCGGCUUAUCAGCUUGUUGGUGGGGUAGUGGCUUACCAAGGCUUUGACGGGUAGCCGGCCUGAGAGGGUGACCGGCCACAUUGGGACUGAGAUACGGCCCAGACUCCUACGGGAGGCAGCAGUGGGGAAUAUUGCACAAUGGGCGGAAGCCUGAUGCAGCAACGCCGCGUGCGGGAUGACGGCCUUCGGGUUGUAAACCGCUUUCGCCUGUGACGAAGCGUGAGUGACGGUAAUGGGUAAAGAAGCACCGGCUAACUACGUG
RNAcentral lists this ribosomal RNA (468 nucleotides) under uncultured bacterium. RNAcentral's name for it is "partial 16S ribosomal RNA". It matches the Rfam family "Bacterial small subunit ribosomal RNA", at positions 28 to 507 of the family's 1533-position model. The record is from RNAcentral.